UGCAUGGAGGCACAGCAUUCCCAACAGCUCAUUUGCUGUGAAUACUCUGGGUGCCAUUAAAACAUAAUAAUUUCUGCAAAAGGGCCUCGCUUUCCGCCUGUGCUCUGCUCCUGCUCCUGCAGAAAUGGUUUGCGUUGCUGAUGGGGCAGUAAUGCCAUGGGCCGGGUCUGGUAGCAGGAGGGGAUUUUUGGGGAGCAAUGAGGGUAUGCACAGCCAAAGACUGUCCCAAGAGUCCUUCACAGCCAUGCCACAAACACUGCCUGGGCAUGGGGUGUGUGGCAAUGGCCUGCACAGUUCCGCUGUAAGGAGGGAGAUUGAAAUGUGGGAGUUCCUGGCUUGGGUCAAGGUAUGUUUCUUUCUGUCCCUGCACACUGACAUAGCCAAAGCAUGCUCUGUACCAGAGCCAUCACUUCUUUCUUUCCUUGUCCCAGAGAUGUGCUGCAGAGAAGACUCAGAAGACAGAAGCACAGGGUGUACAGGGCAGUGCUGUGCUGCCAUGGCACCCAGCUCACAGCUCGGAGAGGACUUGGCUGGAGGCAGCUCCGUCCAUCCAGAUGACAGGGAAGGCAUCAGGUCACGCCUGUGCAGUACCUGCUUCAGGCAAACCCAGGCCAUUGCCCUCUUGGGAAUCCCACUGGACCUACAGAAACUGUUGCAGGACCCAAAGUGACCAGGUGGCCCAACCCCAGUAGGCUGUGCCAGGGUUUCCUGAUGUUCCUGCUCCAUUCUGAUGAAACAUUAUACAGAAAGAUAUAGGCAAAGCAUUAUGCUCACAGCCUUUGCCAACAAGUUAUGUUUUAAUGUAAUUUAACUGUAAUCUCAGAGUGUUUUUGUUAGCUAUAAUUAGUAAAAUAUGUCUGUUUUCUGUGUUCCUUGAAGAUGUCUGAACUCCUGCCAGUUCCCUAUAGUUUUCCUGACAUGCAGUGUAACAAGCAGACCACCAAAAUGUAUUUACCAAUAACUGUUUAUUUACAUUCCAUGAAAUCUAAUAACAUUUGCUGUCUUCAUUCGGGAUAAAUGCUCGCCAAAGUGUAAAGCAUAAAAAAAUAAACACUGCCUUACUUUCUAA
This is a long non-coding RNA of Pseudopipra pipra, 1069 nucleotides long. RefSeq lists it as uncharacterized. NCBI's taxonomy places the organism in Eukaryota, Metazoa, Chordata, Aves, Passeriformes, Pipridae. The record is from RefSeq and is a predicted model, not a curated record. The transcript is spliced from 2 exons.